This is a long non-coding RNA of Solanum tuberosum (potato), 2057 nucleotides long. RefSeq lists it as uncharacterized. The record is from RefSeq and is a predicted model, not a curated record. NCBI's taxonomy places the organism in Eukaryota, Viridiplantae, Streptophyta, Magnoliopsida, Solanales, Solanaceae. The transcript has 3 exons.
ACACAAAUAAAUAACACAUUUGGGCCUAACAACCAAAUCUAUUAAGACAUACCAAAAAAAUCUAACAAACAAAACCCACUUCAGAUCCAGCCCAAAAACUAAUCCCUAUGAAUACUUCCUUAAGUCUAGGGUUUUCUAAAUCAGCCUCUUUUCAUUCAUCGCCUUCAUCCCUAACCAUCUCAAAGAUGUUCCCUCUUUGGGAUAACAAGAAGUUCUGCCUCGGCAUGUUAUGGAUCAAUGUUAAAUUCUUCUCCUUGCAUCCUUGUUUAUCAACUAAAUAAGAGUAAGUCUUCUCUAUUUUCCUUACUUCCUUGUUCAUGCGCCUGUUUCAGCUGACCAAAGUGUUGUUGCAGUUUUUUGUUAUUUGAUUUGUUGGAUUAUUCUUGUGCGUUACUUCUAGAUCUGAUCUCAAGGAAGGAUGCUUAAUCAUUAGAAUUAAGUUCUUAAGAAAGUAUGCAGAUGCAAUAUAAUGAAGACUUAUAUAUACAUAGAAGUGUAAAAGAAGCAUAUUUUUGUUAGUAACUAUAAUCUAUAUUUUUUUCUACUUACAAAGAAGAAUUGAGAUGGAGGAGGAAAGAUUGGAGCGACUUCUUUUGUACGGCUUCAAAAUAUGAAUAGAGAUUUUGGCUUUAAAAAUUAGUAAGAACGUUUUUCUGAUACUAUUACUUUAUACUUUUUUGUAUUGGUUGCAAAUGUUUCCUAUAAUAUUAUUUUUUUCAUACCUUAAACAUGCACGUCUUAUGUAUCACUAUGAUUUAGAGAACAUAAUAGUCCUUAUCCGUUAUUAUAACAUGAAUGGACUUAUAAUUAAUUGGUUCAAGUGUUGAAAAGAAGAUCAAGUAUUAUUGAACUCUGAGUUCCAAGAAUUUUGAUUUUCUUUAUUAUUUAAAUAAGAGUCAACAUUAACUCUUUCUAAAUUCAGCUUCACAAAGUUAUGUUGCUUCCUAUUUAAAAAGUGAAGAUCAGAAUCCUUGUUAACCCAUAGUUCAAUAGCACCCAAUAUUCUCUAAAAUGCUUAAACCAACACUAGUUCAUCCAUAUUAUAAUGAAUAAGAACAAUUUUCUUCUCUAGUUCAAAAGAACACGUAAGAUUGACAUGUUUAAGACAUGAAAAUUUUUGUUAUUGAAAACAUUUGCAAUUGACUCAGAAAAGUGUAAGUCGUAGUAGCAGAAAAAUCAAUUUUGCUAAUAUGUAUCCAUAGGCGAAACUCAUAAACAGGCCUCUAAACUUGAUGGAUUUUUCCCCUUCGAGUACCUUCACUAUGCUAUUUUCCUAUUGAAUCUUGAACCACCCAUAAUUUGCUCCUUUUAAAUAUUGUUGGCUAAUGUGGCACAAAAUGUGAUCUCAUGUCGUUUGAGCGCGUGAAGACGUUUUGAAGGCGCUGAUGUGGAUCCCUGAACCACCCACCAACGAUCUUCUUACCCUUUUAACCCUAAUUUCUCCCUUUUUCUCUUAUUUCUCCUCUUUUCUUUCUCUUCAUCAUUAAGUUGGAGCUACUCAUCAAAAUAUAUCUCUUCUUCAUUGAUUUCUUCAUAAUCACCAAGUUCCAAUGUCGAAGUUAUCUUGUUCAUCGAUUUCUUCUUCUUCAACUGCAAAUGUGCUAUGUCAAUGUGGGGUUGUUGUGGAAAUGAAGAUCUCAUGGACGCAAUCCAACCCUGGACGUAGGUUCCUUUGUUGCAGAAUUUCAAAGGCACGAGGUGGAUGUGGAUAUUUCUGAUGGUGUGAUGAUGAAAUGCCGGCUCAAUCUAGGAAGGUGAUAUGGAGUUUGUUGAAAAGAGUCAAAACAUAUGAACUGGAGAGGAAUCGAUCAAGAAAAGUAUGAAUGAUAUGCAUUGUCAUAGGGGUGAUAUUGGCUACUUGGAUUUAUGUAACAAAAUGAUCUUAGUGCUUUGGUUCAUUUGUCGUCUUCUAGAUUCCUUCAAUAGCAUGUAGGUAGAUUGUAAUCUUCUCUAUGAGGGCAAUUUUGAUCGGCAUUUCUAUUGUAAUUGUCUUCAAUUGUGUUCUUAUUGUACUGAUUUUGAUUUAAGGAAUGAAGACAAACUAUGUGUUAGUCUCA